This is a long non-coding RNA of Nematostella vectensis (starlet sea anemone), 288 nucleotides long. RefSeq lists it as uncharacterized. The transcript has 2 exons. Lineage: Eukaryota; Metazoa; Cnidaria; Anthozoa; Actiniaria; Edwardsiidae. The record is from RefSeq and is a predicted model, not a curated record.
GUUGCCUUUCACUAACAUCAGUAGAGGUAUGUCUUUGGCGUGUACUUGGUUUUUCUUGGUUUUCAUUAGGGAUGUAUAGUAAGAUGUACUGUUGCCUUUCACUAACAUCAGUAGAGGUAUGUCUUUGGCGUGGUUCACAUAUGCAAGGUCCAUCCCUACUCCUCCCCUAUAUACUUACACACACAGCUAGCUGCAAGAUACAAUACUUAUACAGAAACCUAAUUCAAACAUUUUUGCUUAUUUUUAAUAAAACAGUUUUGUUCAUACAUAAAGAUAGAUACUCCAAAA